RNA transcript from Myiozetetes cayanensis, 6937 nucleotides. It is a transcript of the gene named leucine carboxyl methyltransferase 2, with no coding region annotated. The record is from RefSeq and is a predicted model, not a curated record. NCBI's taxonomy places the organism in Eukaryota, Metazoa, Chordata, Aves, Passeriformes, Tyrannidae. The transcript has 16 exons.
CUGCGCCGGACGCUGGGCCCGUCUGCGGUGGGCGAGGCGCGAGCGGGAUGAGCCGCGGGGUCCAGGGCACCGGCGGCAGCAGCGCCGUCAGCAAGUGCUCGGCGGCAGCGCGGGGCUACAUCCAGGACCGGUUCCAGCGGCUCCUGGCGGGGCGGCAGCGCCGACGAGCGCCGCUUAUCCACCGGGGUUAUUACAUCCGCGCCCGUGCUGUAGAUCACUGUGUCCGGGACUUCCUACUGAAGACACAAAGCCACCCUAGGACACAGGUCCUGUCUUUAGGUGCUGGCUUUGACUCCUUAUACUUCCGUUUGAAGGACAUGGGUCUUCUGCAUCAUACUGUGGUAUAUGAGGUGGAUUUUCCAAGUGUGGUGUGCCAAAAAGCUACUCUGAUCAAAAGAAUGGAAGAGUUGUCAGCACUGGUGGGAGACACUGCAGGGGAAGGAUUAGGAGCCAUUACCUUUUCUGGAGAGGAUUAUAAACUACUGGGAGUGGAUUUAUCAGAGCUGUCUGAGCUGGGGAGAGCCCUGGAGGAAGCAGGACUGGACAAUGAAAUCCCCACCCUAUUCAUUGCAGAAGUGGUGCUCACCUACAUGGAAAACAGCAGGUCAGAUGCCUUGAUUCAAUGGGCAGCAGAGCGUUUCCCUCGGGCCUGCUUCCUGCUGUAUGAGCAGGUGCACCCAGAGGACCCCUUUGGACGUGUCAUGCAGCAGCAUUUCAGCCAGCUGAACUCUGCACUUCACUCUCUGACACAGUACCCUGACUGUGAGGCACAGCAGAAGCGCUUUUUGGGAAGGGGCUGGACUGAGUGCAGUGUCAUGGAUAUGAAUGAGUUUUUCACCUGUUGUAUUCCAGAAGAUGAACAGCAAAGAGUGCAGGCUCUGGAGCCUUUUGAUGAGUAUGAGGAAUGGCAUCUGAAAUGUUCUCAUUACUUUGUGUUGACUGCGUCAAAGGGGAUGGAUCCUUCCUGGACUCCGUUGUUACCCAGUGUGACAGUUCCUCACCAUGCUGGUCCUGUUGGAAUGGCUGGGAGCAUCCCUGCAGCAGUGUGUGCAAGGCUCUCAGGAAUUCCUGGCCUGAGACGUUACGGUCACUGCUCUGUUCUUAUAAAACCCGACGUGAUUCUCACCACUGGAGGCUUUGGGGAGGAGGAUGGACAACACUGCCGCCUGAGAAAUUUCCAUGUGCUGAGUAAGCAUGCAGGCUACUGGAAAGCUGACUGUGUGACAAAGAAACAUCCUGAUAAAAGAUGGGGUGAGCGGUUGUAUCACACUGUGUCCUGUGUCUCGGACAGUCUGGCCCUGGUGGUAGGAGGACGAAUGUCCCCAUCAAGUGCAGGCUUGGGAAUGUUGUGGCUAAAGUUCCCUGAAAACUAUAAUGCUUCAGAUUCAGAUGACAUUGCAGUGGAGCUUGUAAAUCUGCAGCCUGCUGCUGAACCAGCAACUUUGCGUUGGAGACACAGCACAACUGAAGUGACAUUCAAAGGUGAGCAGUACCUGUUUGUGUAUGGGGGCCGCUCUGCUCUGGAGCCUGUGCUUGGGGAUUGGUAUUUUCUGCACACUCGAGAACUCUCCAGCACUCUGAUUGCUGUUGAGGGUCCAGUCCCAGAAAGCCGCCACUCUCACAGUGCCUGCAGCUGGGAAGGAGGAGUGCUCAUCGCAGGAGGUCUGGGAGCAGCUGAGCAGCCCUUGGGUUCAGUUUUCCUUCUGAGGGAGCUUGAACAUGGCUUUCGGUGGCAGGCAGUAGAGACAUACCCUCCUCUCAUCCCAAGGUAUUCACAUACUGCACAUGUGCAUGAAGGAAAGCUUCUGCUCGUUGGUGGAGUGUGGUUUCAUGCAUCCUCCGUGCCAGGCAUCACUGUCAUUGACCUAAUGACUGGCCUCUGCUUGGACUAUGUGAUUAAUGUGGAGCAUCUGGAGUGGCCAUUAAUGCUACAUAAUCAUAGCAGUGUCUUUCUGCCAGAUGAGAAGGAGUUGUUGGUCAUUGGUGGUGGUGGGAACUGCUUCUCCUUUGGGACACACCUGAACCCAGAGCCUGUCUCACUGAGCCUCAGCAGCAUCGUGACAAGUCACUGAUUGGGACCAAGCAAGGCUGAACUGUGCUGUGGGAAGACAUCUGUUCACUCGGAGGUCCAAGGUUUCCACAAGGGCUUUGUAUCCAGAAUGCAUUUGUGAAGAGGAUCUGGCAGAACUGGAAGCAGCCAAGGGCAGCAAUAACCCAGUCAGAGGAGCAGAGCAGCUUGGACGGGGUGCAGAAGUCAGCAGACAUGUCCACUGGCAGCUCCCACCGAAAUUCCAUGAACUACAGGAAGCAAAGGUUCAUCCAAAGCUCCCAGGACACCCGGGCACUCUUUGAGGAGCAGCAUAGGGAGCUGGAGGCACAGCUGGCCCAGCAGCAAUACAGGGGAGGGGACUGCAGGGUGCUCCAGACCGAGAUGCUGGUGGAGCUGCCGGGACUGCUGGGGGGCAGAGAGUCUCCCCAGUGCCUUGCAGUGGAGCUGCCGAGGCCGGACAUGAACAAGGGGACAGAAGAGGCCAAACAUAAGAACACAGGACAGUGCAGCAGGGACUACACGACACUGCAACGCAGAAGAUCCGUGGUGAUGGCCAGGCUUCUACCUAGACUAGUGGUGAUUGUAAAUCCCGCACUGUUGGAAAGCUGCAGCAGCAGCAGUAGCAGCUCCACGGAGGUGGAAUACAGCAGCACCACUACUGGAUGGUUCCUGGGGAAGCUCCGUGCCCGGCUCCAGAGAUACCUGGAAGCCUUGCAGACACACUUUGUUCAGCGCCGCCGGGGCUUCUGCAUCCACCUGAGGUCCCAGUGGUGGUGGCAGCGCUGGACACAGAGGAGAAAAAGGCGUAGUAAUCAUGAGUAGGGAGGGGUGGAGGAAUGGGGUGCUUCAGGAACCAUCUGGACAGCCCAAUACCCGCCCCUCUCCAGAUCCCUCUGUAGAGCCCUCCUGUCCUCUAGCAGACACACACCCUCACCCAACCUGUCCUCUGCAAACUGACUGAGGGUCCCCUCCUCUUGCCCAUCCACCAGUGCUGUAGCACCAUUGCAGAAGGUCACCAAUUUUGUCAAACAUGAUUUUGCCUUUAUAAAGCCACAUUGGCUGUUACAAAUCAUCUCUGUUUUCCAUUAGCCUUAUCAUAGUUUUCAAGAGAAUCUGCUCAGUGAUCUUGCUUGGCACAGAGGUAACACUGACUGGUCUGUAGUUCCCUGGGUCUUCUGCUUUCCCCUUUUUAAAAAUGGGGGGUUACAUUUCCCUUUUUCUAGUCAUCAGGAACUUCAUGUAACUGCCACAAUUUUUCAAAAAUGAUGAACAGUGUCUUACCAACUUUGUCUGCCAAUUCCCUCAGGACCCAUGGACGGAUUUCAUUUGGUCCCAUGGACUUGUUUAUAUUCAGGUUCCUUAGAUGGUCUCAAAUCUGAUCUUCUCCUACAGGGGGCUCUUCCUUCUCCCAGUCCCUGCAUUUGCCUUUCCCAACUUGGGUGGCAUGGCCAGACUCAAUUCUAAUGGGCCUUGGCUUCCCUAACCUUGUCCCCUAGCUUCUCUUACAAUUUCCCUGUGUUCCUCCCAGGCUACCCCUCAUUUCCACUUCCUGAGAGCUGCUUAUUUUGCUCUGCUCACCAGCUCCUUACCCAUCCAUGGAAGCCUCGUGGCAUUUCUGCCCCAUUUCCUCCCUGCUGGGGUGCGUUGCUCCCAAGCUUGGAGGAGGUGAUCCCUGAAAUUCAGCCAGCUUCAUGGCUGAGAAGAGAUGGGCCCUGCUGGGCAGCUCCUGGGGAUCACCUGGGCCCACGUUCUGCAGGGAGCUGCUUGGGGGGGAGCAGUGCAGCAUUUGGGUCUCUCAAGGAGAGUUGGUGAGAGCGCCUCUCAGCCCUGGGGAAGCACCUGGAUUCUCCUGGACAUGGAGCAUUGCCCAGGGAAGGGGCCGGGGGUUGAACCCUGUGCCGAGGGGCAGUGCAGGAGGGGGAGCAGCACCCAAGAGGGUGGGGCAGAGUGGGGGCACAGGGAAGAUCAUUCUCACUCUGCCUUUCGAUUUCAUCUUCCCAGUCCCUGCCCAAUGCAUUCCAGUGACCUCAGAAAAUGAGGGGUUCGAGGGGAAAAUGGGUUUAAAUUGAGGCCUCCAGUUGUGAUUUCAAGUGUUUCAACUGAAGAAAACCCUGCCUUUUCCAUGUUGUUAGAGGUUUUAAUUGACACGGAAUCCCUUAUUUUUUGCUUGAAAUGGAAGGGGACAACCUUUAUGAGGCCAUUUUCAUCAUCUGAAGGUUUAAAUUGAGGGGGAAUCCCUGUAGUGCCUCAUUUUUGAGAGUUUGAAAGGAACUUCUUUAUGUGCCAUUUUAAGAGUUCCAUCGAGGGGAACCUUCCGUUAUAAGGGACCCUCAGGGGGAAAAAAAGAUAUAAAAAAGCCACAAAAAUAGUGCUUCUUGAGAGGAAAAAGAGUGGUGGGAAGGGGAAGCAUUUUAAAAAAAAAUUAUUAACAAAAAAGUAAAAAGAAAACUAAACUGAAAAUAACAUAAAAAGAAUAAAAAGAGAAAAGAAAAUUGAAAAUAAACACAACAAAAAUAAAAUUAAAAAAGAAAGAGCAAAUAGGCAUUGUGUUUAAGGGAAUAGCAGGGGAGCCUUUCCUUUGCCCAGAGGAGCUGCAGUGUUUCCCUCUAUGGAAAAAUAAGAAAUAAAAAAUAAAAAUAACAUAAAAAAUUAAAUUAAAAAAAAAGAAAAAUUAAAAAGGGAAAAUAAAUGAAAUAAAAAGAAAGUAAAAACAAAGAAUAUAAUAUAAAAUAAAAUAAAUGUAAAAAAGAAAAUUAAAUCCAAGAAAACUAAAAGGGAAAUAAGAUUGAAAUAAAAGAGAAAAAACCCUUUUUGGGGACCCCAUUUAUUCUCUCCCUAAACCCCCAAACCCCAAAUUGGAUGCCACCCUUAAGAUGGGAGGGGGAACCCCAAAAAGUGGAUAGGAGACCCCAAAAAUUGGAGGGUGGAUACCAGAAAUAGGGGAAGAUCCCCAAGGACCUUACAAAUUGGAGGGGGAGCCCAAAAUGGCACGGAAGGGCUCCAAAAAUGGGUGUGGGGACCCCUAAAAGUAGGGAACCCCCCUCAAAAAGGGGGUGGAGACCUACCCAAAAUGUCAGAAAGGAGCCCCAAAAAUAGGUGGGGACUCACAAAAGUGAAUGAGGACCCCUGGAAGUGGGAGAGGAGACCCGAAAAUAUGGCUGGUGAACCCCAAAAAAGUCAGGGAAGGGCCCUAAAACAUCCCCAAAAUGUGGGUAGGGACGCCCAAAAGGGGCAGAGGAAUGCCAGUGAUGCCCCCCGGCACCAUUUUGGGUGUCAAGGGGGUGUCACCCCUCCCUUUCUUCCCGCUUGCCCCCUCCCAUCCCACCUCACAAAGCCUUUAAGGAAAAUAACAAUAAAGUAAAAUAAAAAAACCUUAAAAAAUAAAACAAAAUAAAUAAAAACAAACCCAGUAAAAAUAAAUAAAAAGAAAAUAAAUUUAAAAGAAAAACAAAAUCAAAGAAAAAUAGGAUAUAAAAUUAAAAAAAAAAAGAAAAUAAACCAUAAAUAUAAAAAAUAUAUUUUAAAAAAACAAACAAAAAAACCAGGACGGGCGGGAAUCGCUGCUUCCAACUCAGCAUAUUCUGUGAUUCUGUGAUUCCAUGUGUCUUAUAAAAGAUCUAGAUACAAGAGUAGUUCCAGUAUCUAUGAAACAAUUUCUUGUCUUUAUUGCUGAAGUCUCGAGUUGUUUGUCAGGGUGCAGGAUGUCUUAAAGAAAUAGUACUCCAGGCCACUGGGAGGGAGUCAAAACCCAAAGAAAACCCAAAUCCUACUGAGGGACUCAUCCAAAGGAAGAAAGCCAUUAUUGCCAUCAACAGCUUCAAAACCUGUUCAAAAUUCUAGGACAGCAAUACUGGGAUUCACAGGAAUCUUCUUAGUGCUCUUAGUUCCAUUUUAAUGUAUCUUUAGUCCUCAAGGAGCAGUUUGGAGAACUUACCCUGGGAUUUAAAGGCCAAGCAGGGCUUGCUUUGGAUUGCCUUGCACCUCUGGCCCCAGCUGGUGCAAACACAACUUGGGCCAAUGGGGUUAAACACACUUUCCUACCAAAACAGUUGCUGUAUCCCCUAGAAAUUACCCCAAGUUUCCAGAUAAAAAUGACACCUCUGUCCCCAGUGAGUCACCCCAGGUUUUGCCAGUUGGGAGCUGUAAGGAGGCUGUAAAUUCAAAGGCAGAAGGAGAAGAUCUAUCAGCAAAAGGCAGAAAGAAGGGGACAGGUUUCAGAAGACAUUUCUGCAAUAUCAUUAAUAACUAUUUCCAGUUUCCCAGUGAGAAGAACAUGAAUGCACCACCACCAAGGCCUGACAGUCCUCUGCAGCCAGAGCUCAGCACACAUCCAGAGAGGUGGGUGCACAGUGAACGGUGGGCACAGGGCAGGUCAUUAAUGCCUACGGGGAUGGUGCUUUCUGAGGGAAGAGCAGCUGACUGAUGGCCUGAGUCCACUUGCUGCUCCCGGGAUUGAUUUGCACAGGACAAACUCUCUGGCAGGAAGGGGUUUUGUUCCCUGUCAGGGGUGGACCAGAAGAGGCCUACUGAGAGUGGAGAGAGAUGCAAAAGAACUACAAAGAAGGCUCAGAAGAAGAGAUCUCUAUUGAAGCCUCCUAGCAACUGUAGCUGCGUUUGAGACCCAGCUACAAGGCCAUAGCCUUGCAGGCUCUGCAGAUUCCCAUGUCUCUGCCCCCAGGACAAUCCUUCCAUUCUUCCCUAAGCUCUCCCUACCCCCUGCGUGACCAGACAUAUCCCAUGCAGCCUAUCCCUCCAAGUUCACUUAUCACUAAACUUUAGGAUUCGAGGUUCCCUAGCAAGAAACCCUCCUCUGUUCCUGAACCUUCUGUAUCCCCCUGUAUAUAAACUGUCUUCUUGUUUUAAUAAAUGCCAUUUUGUGAGUCACAA